GUUGAUUUGUUGUCUAUAACCAAACUUCCCUUCCCCCCCCUUCUAUCUGUCAGAGUGCCUUGAGAGACCACUAGUUGGCUCUGCCAGUCCAUAAGCAAGUGAAGUCAGUGGGUGUCAAUCACCAAUCUUAUGUAUUGUGUCUCUUCUCUCUGACAGGCUUUAUCUCUGUCUAUUUGUGAAAUACAGAAGCUAUCAGAUCGAAGUCAAGAUCACACAGCAACCUCUGGUAUUAGUUCAUAUUGAUUAAUAGUUAA
This is a long non-coding RNA of Daphnia magna, 254 nucleotides long. RefSeq lists it as uncharacterized. The record is from RefSeq and is a predicted model, not a curated record. NCBI's taxonomy places the organism in Eukaryota, Metazoa, Arthropoda, Branchiopoda, Diplostraca, Daphniidae. The transcript has 2 exons.